Molecule: ribosomal RNA, 497 nt
Filed under: uncultured bacterium
Lineage: Bacteria
Description: partial 16S ribosomal RNA
Rfam family: Bacterial small subunit ribosomal RNA
Source: RNAcentral
GACGAACGCUGGCGGCGUGCCUAAUACAUGCAAGUUGAGCGCUGAAGGUUGGUACUUGUCCCCACUGGAUGAGCAGCGAACGGGCGAGUAACGCGUGGGGAAUCUGCCUUUGAGCGGGGGACAACAUUUGGAAACGAAUGCUAAUACCGCAUAAAAACUUUAAACACAAGUUUUAAGUUUGAAAGAUGCAAUUGCAUCACUCAAAGAUGAUCCCGCGUUGUAUUAGCUAGUUGGUGAGGUAAAGGCUCACCAAGGCGAUGAUACAUAGCCGACCUGAGAGGGUGAUCGGCCACAUUGGGACUGAGACACGGCCCAAACUCCUACGGGAGGCAGCAGUAGGGAAUCUUCGGCAAUGGACGAAAGUCUGACCGAGCAACGCCGCGUGAGUGAAGAAGGUUUUCGGAUCGUAAAACUCUGUUGGUAGAGAAGAACGUUGGUGAGAGUGGAAAGCUCAUCAAGUGACGGUAACUACCCAGAAAGGGACGGCUAACUACGUG